RNAcentral lists this unclassified non-coding RNA (200 nucleotides) under soil metagenome. RNAcentral describes it as "partial contains internal transcribed spacer 2 and large subunit ribosomal RNA". The record is from RNAcentral.
GGAACUGGGUCUGUUUAAAUUGAUUGCCCCUAUCUAGAGUAGACAAAGGCAAGAAACGUAUGUGUAUCUCCUCUUACGAGAAGUCACUAUGCUUAUUACUGCUCUGCUCUUAGGGAUUCAUAACCUAUAAGUCUAGUAUUCUUCGGAAUCUAGUCUUGAACCAUGGUCUCAAAUCAAGUAGGAAGACCCGCUGAACUUAA